AAAGUUGUUGCAGUUAAAAAGCUCGUAGUUGAAUUUCGGAAUCUGUCCGUUGGUCGGGCUUCAUUGUCCGUACUGGUGUGAUGGGUUCUUACCUUCUGAAUAACCAGCAUGCCAUUCAUUUGGUGCGCUGGGGAAGCAGGACUAUUACCUUGAAAAAAUUAGAGUGCUCAAAGCAGGCUAGUGCCUGAAUACAUUAGCAUGGAAUAAUAAAAUAGGACGGCAUGGUUCUAUUUUGUUGGUUUCUAGGAUCACCGUAAUGAUUAAUAGGGAUAGUUGGGGGCAUUAGUAUUCAAUUGUCAGAGGUGAAAUUCUUGGAUUUAUUGAAGACUAACUUCUGCGAAAGCAUUUGCCAAGGAUGUUUUCAUUAAUCAAGAACGAAAGUUAGGGGAUCGAAGACGAUCAGAUACCGUCGUAGUCUUAACCAUAAACUAUGCCGACUAGGGAUCGGACGAUGUUAAUUUUUUAAUGACUCGUUCGGCGCC
This 482-nucleotide ribosomal RNA is filed under the name Acaulospora foveata. Its description in RNAcentral is "SSU rRNA". It matches the Rfam family "Eukaryotic small subunit ribosomal RNA", at positions 606 to 1087 of the family's 1831-position model. The record is from RNAcentral. Lineage: Eukaryota; Fungi; Glomeromycota; Glomeromycetes; Diversisporales; Acaulosporaceae.